CCUACGGGAGGCAGCAGUGGGGGAUAUUGGACAAUGGGGGGAACCCUGAUCCAGCGACGCCGCGUGAGUGAAGACGGCCCUACGGGUUGUAAACCUCUUUUGUCAGGGAGCAAGGUGCAGGUCGGGACCUGCUGUGAGAGUACCCGAAGAAAAAGCAUCGGCUAACUCCGUGCCAGCAGCCGCGGUAAUACGGAGGAUGCGAGCGUUAUCCGGAUUUAUUGGGUUUAAAGGGUGCGCAGGCGGAGGUGCAAGUCAGCGGUCAAAUUGCGGGGCUCAACCCCGUACUGCCGUUGAAACUGCAUCCCUUGAGUGCGCGAGAAGUAUGCGGAAUGCGUGGUGUAGCGGUGAAAUGCAUAGAUAUCACGCAGAACUCCGAUUGCGAAGGCAGCAUACCGGCGCGCAACUGACGCUCAUGCACGAAAGCGUGGGUAUCGAACAGGUUUAGAUACCCGAGUAGUC
RNAcentral lists this ribosomal RNA (459 nucleotides) under uncultured bacterium. Its description in RNAcentral is "partial 16S ribosomal RNA". It matches the Rfam family "Bacterial small subunit ribosomal RNA", at positions 338 to 795 of the family's 1533-position model. The record is from RNAcentral.